RNAcentral lists this ribosomal RNA (253 nucleotides) under uncultured bacterium. RNAcentral's name for it is "partial 16S ribosomal RNA". It matches the Rfam family "Bacterial small subunit ribosomal RNA", at positions 524 to 776 of the family's 1533-position model. The record is from RNAcentral.
UACGUAGGGGGCUAGCGUUGUCCAGAUUUAUUGGGCGUAAAGAGCGUGUAGGCGGCCAGGUAGGUCUGCUGUGAAAACUCGAGGCUCAACCUCGAGACGUCGGCGGAAACCAUCUGGCUAGAGUCCGGAAGAGGAGAGUGGAAUUCCUGGUGUAGCGGUGAAAUGCGCAGAUAUCAGGAAGAACACCCGUGGCGAAGGCGGCUCUCUGGGACGGUACUGACGCUGAGACGCGAAAGCGUGGGGAGCGAACAGG